GGGGAUUUAGCUCAGCGGCAUAAGCACCCGCCUUGCAAGCAGGUAGUUGUGGGUUCGAUCCCCGCUACCA
Molecule: transfer RNA, 70 nt
Organism: Cavia porcellus (domestic guinea pig)
Lineage: Eukaryota; Metazoa; Chordata; Mammalia; Rodentia; Caviidae
Rfam family: tRNA
About the family: Transfer RNA (tRNA) molecules are approximately 80 nucleotides in length. Their secondary structure includes four short double-helical elements and three loops (D, anti-codon, and T loops).
Source: Rfam